UACGAGGGGGGCAAGCGUUGUUCGGAAUUAUUGGGCGUAAAGGGCGCGUAGGCGGUGCGGUAAGUCACCUGUGAAAACUCUGGGCUCAACUCAGAGCCUGCAGGCGAAACUGCCGUGCUUGAGUGUGGGAGAGGUGCGUGGAAUUCCCGGUGUAGCGGUGAAAUGCGUAGAUAUUGGGAGGAACACCAGUGGCGAAGGCGGCUCACUGGACCGGUACUGACGCUGAUGCGCGAAAGCGUGGGGAGCAAACGGG
RNAcentral lists this ribosomal RNA (253 nucleotides) under uncultured bacterium. RNAcentral describes it as "partial 16S ribosomal RNA". It matches the Rfam family "Bacterial small subunit ribosomal RNA", at positions 524 to 776 of the family's 1533-position model. The record is from RNAcentral.